UGAGGAACAUGACCUUCGGCGGGGGAUAGCCGGCCCAACGGCCGGGUAAUACCGCGUACGACCUUUUGGGGACAUCCCUGAUUGGUGAAAGCAGCAAUGCGCCGAAAGAGUGCCUCGCGGCCUAUCAGCUAGUUGGUGGGGUAAUGGCUCACCAAGGCAACGACGGGUAGCUGGUCUGAGAGGAUGGCCAGCCACAGUUGGGACUGAGACACGGCCCAGACUCCGACGGGAGGNAGCG
This 238-nucleotide ribosomal RNA is filed under the name uncultured bacterium. RNAcentral describes it as "partial 16S ribosomal RNA". It matches the Rfam family "Bacterial small subunit ribosomal RNA", at positions 118 to 353 of the family's 1533-position model. The record is from RNAcentral.